GCUGACACAAUAAGCCCUCAGAGGCAAACAGCCUGGGCAAGGGAUCGCCCGGUCGCAAAAGCAGUGUGUGCCUGGCCCCGCGUGGGUGAUUCCCCAGCCCUCGAACUGACUUACUGGUAACUGAAGGACAUCCCCCUCAUGAGCAGCACAGUUGGAGCCUGAGAAAGGUGCUUAUCUUAAGGGAGAAAUGUUUGGAGGCAACUCUGUACCAGAGGACAGGAAAUUUGUUCGCACUUGAGCUUUAGCUCCACCCUUGCCCUGCAGGGCAGGACAGUAAAUGAAUUGAACCUUGCCAGGAGGGGACGACGGCUGAUUCCCGGGGGUCACCUUAUACUCGGUGUGGGCGCAGCUCGAGUUGCGGCUCCAACAAGAGCAGAAAUGUAGAGCUAGAGGUAUUUUGGUUCAUUUCUGGGGAUUGGACCCAGGGCCUGACGAACAUUAGGCAAGCACUUUGUUGCUGAGCUGUACUUCCAGUCCCAAGUUUCAGAAUGUUUACAUGUUGACAGCUACUUAAUUAGAAAAGUUUUCAUAGGUGGGUCCAUCAGCAGGCCACCAUCAGUCCCCUGUGCAACAUGUGCAGUGAGAAACAACUGGUGUAUAGCACAGUGUGUACCUCAGAACCUCAGGUGGGAAGCGGGACAGAAAGCUGGAGGCCGAGUGAGGAGACCCAGAUCCCGGGCCUCCACCCCAAAGGCCCAUGCAAUUUGGCUCACACCCCACCCUGCACACCCACUGCUACCACACUGCUGAGGCACAGUGAGGCUUCCACACCAGUGUGGUGCCAGGCCUCUGAAGGGUGGGCUGUGCCUCCUGCACCCACGAGUCUGCUGACAUCACCCCAGCAACCUGUGGCGCUCCCCACAUCCCAGCCAUCGAAGGACGGAGCAGGGUUAAGGAUCAGCACCAAUGCAUCCCAACGUCCCUUAAGGGCAGUUUUCUGCAGCAAAGGACAUGGGAAAUGUGAGAGCCACAGUAGAGGCAGCUCAGUUACAACUGGUUUUUGCAAGAGGAUGCAGAGGGUUAGUGAGUGUGUUCUUCCCCUCGUCUUGCAUGUGCUAGAGGGAGUGGGAACAUUCACCUUGUUGUCCAGUGACUCAGGGCCAGUUUUCCUUAGAUAGCUCUAUGGGCUGGGGAGCACUGUAUAGCUCAGAUUUAGCACUUCAAAGCAAUAAAGUAAAAUAAAAUAAUAAAUAGCUCAUGGUUUUACAUGUUGCCCCAAGCAGUUAUGACUUGUGGUUUGAAAUAAAAAAUUAUAUCUAGCAUAAAAAGAGAAAGAGGGGUCAGGAUGUAGCCCAGCAGCACAGACACCUGCCUGGCAAGCUUGAGGUCCUGAGUUCGACCUCAAGGUCCUUUAGGUCUCCGGUACCAAAUAAAUAAAGAGAGAAAAAGGGAAUUAAAUUAAUUUAU
This 1407-nucleotide long non-coding RNA is filed under the name Heterocephalus glaber (naked mole-rat). RNAcentral's name for it is "lncRNA (ENSHGLG00000046484.1)". The record is from RNAcentral. Lineage: Eukaryota; Metazoa; Chordata; Mammalia; Rodentia; Bathyergidae.